UACAGAGAGUGCAAGCGUUAAUCGGAAUUACUGGGCGUAAAGCGCACGCAGGUGGAUGUGUAAGUCGGAUGUGAAAGCCCUGGGCUUAACCUAGGAAUUGCAUCCGAUACUACUCAUCUAGAGUAUGGUAGAGGGAAGUGGAAUUUCCGGUGUAGCGGUGAAAUGCGUAGAUAUCGGAAGGAACACCAGUGGCGAAGGCGGCUUCCUGGACCAAUACUGACACUCAGGUGCGAAAGCGUGGGGAGCAAACAGG
Molecule: ribosomal RNA, 253 nt
Filed under: uncultured bacterium
Lineage: Bacteria
Description: partial 16S ribosomal RNA
Rfam family: Bacterial small subunit ribosomal RNA
Source: RNAcentral